Malania oleifera is the source of this 8912-nucleotide RNA transcript. RefSeq lists it as uncharacterized. NCBI's taxonomy places the organism in Eukaryota, Viridiplantae, Streptophyta, Magnoliopsida, Santalales, Ximeniaceae. The transcript is spliced from 3 exons. The record is from RefSeq and is a predicted model, not a curated record.
CAAAGAGACACCAUCUCUGCUACAGCGAAAUUUGCCUUUCCCACUCUCUCUCCUCUCGCCCCGACUCAGAAGUCCAAUCCAACGCAGCUUUUAUUUGCCAGCAGAUCCCAACAAGGUAUGUGAGGAUCGUCGUUAUAUCUAUUCAACUCACAGAAUACUCUGUUCUGUGCAUGCAUAGCUUGACUGAUCAUUCCCUUGAUUUUGUUGAUGAAUUCGUGUAAUUCUGUGACUAGGGUUCUUGAUUUUUUGUUAAUUUUUUUGGGUGUGUGGAGUUGUUACUGAUGAUUUUGAAAUGAACUCAGAUACAGUUGUAAUGGAGGGGAGUGAGGUUGGGGCUAAUGUUUCAGAAUCAACUGCCACAGUUAGUGUCCCUUCAGCUGAUAAAACCCUAGGUGAGACUUUGAGUGGUGAGGAUCAGAGUCAGUCUGGGGGUACGGUUUCGGAGGGCGAUAGAGUUUGUGAUGGAGAGGACAUCAUGGUGGAAGUGAAGGGUUCUGAAAUUUUUGUUGAUGGGGUUGGUGGGCAACGGGUUGGAGGGGAUUCCAGUGAGGAGAGAGAAGUGAGGUCUGCGGAUGGAGGGGGUGUUGUAGCUGAUGAUUUAGCAUCAAACGGAGUUGGCGAUUCUGGCAGUGAACUGUGUAAUCCCAAAAGUGAAAAUGGGGUCGGGGGUUCUUUGGCAGAUGCUGGAUCAAGAGAAAACAACCACAAUCUCGGGGCAGAUGAUGUCGUGGGGAUGGCAAGUAAGGAGGAUGUGGAGAGAGGCAUAGAAAAUGGGGUUGGGGGUUCUUUGGCAGAAGCUGGAUCAAGAGAAAACAACCACAAUCUUGGGGUAGAUGACGUUGUGGCGAUGGAAAGUGAGGAGGUUGUGGAGAGAAGCAUGGAAUCGAUUGAUGGCUCACGUAAUUUAGAUGGUGAAGCUCAAAAUCAAGAAAUUGAAGGGCCUUUUGUUGAUGGGGGUUCAUUGAGUGAACAAAACCAAAGUGUAGGUGUGGCAAUGACAAGUGAGGAAAGUGAGGUGGGUGUAGAGAGAGGUAGGGAGUUGGUUGAGGAUCUGGUUCAUAUGGUUGAUGGCUUACAUACUUUAGACGGUGAAGCUCAAAAUCAUGAAAAUGAAGGGCCUUUGGUUGAUGCUGCUUCAUCAGGUGAACAAAACCAAAUUGUAGGUGCAGAGAAAGUUAAGGAAAUAGUGAACGAGGAGGAUUCGGAGUGGGUUGAAGCUUUUGUAGAUGGCGAAGGUGAUACGGUUGGUGAUGUGGCAUCUAAAAAAAAUGAUGUUUUGGAUGAUGAAGUAUUGAAUCCUGGAAUUGAAAACGUGGUCGAGUGUCCUUUGGCAACCAUUGGGUCGUCUGAUGUACCCACACAAGUUCUUCCGGAGGAAACUGAGAUGGUUGUCAAUCAGGAGGGUUUAACAGCCAAAAAUGAUGUUUCAGGAAGUGAUGCCCUGGAGAGAGGUAUGUCUUUAGAAAAAGAUCAAAUUUCAACAGUUGAUGUGGUUAAUGGGACGACAAAAAGAAGCAGCAGUGUUCAUACAAAUACUGGAUCUGUAAACAGUGAAAUCCAAGUUUCUGAUGGAGAAGCAGUUGCUGUGAUAGAAAAAGAAGAGAUUUUGCAUUCCAAAGUAGAAAUUGUGGAAACUAAUGCCUUUGAUGGGAAUUUACAUUGUUCUGCUGAAGAUGGGCAAUUGAACAUUGAGACUGGGAGUGGGAGCUCUGAAAAUUAUGGCAAUGCAUGUGUAGGUACAGAGACAGGGGCAGUAGCUGUCAUGGAAAAAGAUAUUUUGCUUUCCAAAGUUGAAUUUGUGGAAACUAAUAUAUUUGAGGGGAAUUUACGUUCUGCAGAAGAGGAGCAGAUGAAAAUUGAGAUGGUGAGUGGGAGUGUUGAAAAUUGUGGUGAUGCAUGUGCAGGUCCAGAGACAAAGGCAGUUGCAGUGGUGGAAGAAGAAGAGAUUUCACAUUCCAAAUUUGAAGUUAUAGAAACUAAUGAAUUUGAUGGGAAUUUGCAUUGUUCUGCAAAAAACCAGCAGCUGAACAUUGAGGCAGCGGGCAGGAGCACUGAAAGUUUUGGCAAUACAUGUCAUGGUCCAGAUACAGGGACAGUUGCAGUGAUGGAAAAUGAUGAGAUUUUGCACGCAAAAGAUGAAACUAUGGAAAAUAAUGUGGAAGACCAGCAGCUGAACACUGAGACUGUGGGUGGGAGCCGUGAAAGUUCUGGCAAUGCAUGUGUAUGUUCAGAGACAAAGGCAACUGCAGUGGAGGAAAAAGAAGAGAUUUUGCAAUCCAAAGUUGACAUUAUUGAAACUAAUCCUUUUGAUGUGAAUUUACAUUGUUCUGCAGAUGAUCAGCAGUUGAACAUGGAGACAGUGGGUGGGAGCAUUGAAUGUUUAGGCAAUGCUUGUGAUGGUCCAGAGACAGCAGAAGUUGCAGUGCCAGAAAAAGAAGAGAUUCUGCAUUCCAAAGUUAAAGCUGUGGAAACAAAGGCUUUUGAUGGGAAUUCAUGUUGUUCUGCAGAAGGUCAACAGUUGAACUCUGAGAUGGUGGGUGGAAGCACUGAAAAUUUUGUCAAUGCUUGUACAUGUCCAGAGGUUGGGGCAAAUUCAAUGAUGGAAAAAGAAAAGACUUUGUGUUCCAAAGAUGACGUUAUGGAAACUAAUGUCUUUGAUAGGAGUUUAUGUUGUUCUGCAGAAGAUCAGCACAUGAACGUUGAGACAGUGAGUGGAAGCGCUGAAAGUUGUGGCGAUGCAUCUGCUGGUCCAGAGGCUCGGGCAGCUGCAGUGAUAGAAGAGGGAGAGAUUUUGCAUUCGGAAGUUGAAGUUAUGGAAACUAAUGCUUUCGAUGGGAAUCCUUGUUAUUCUGCAGAAGAUGAGCAGUUAAAGACUCAGACAGUGGUUGGGAGCACUGAAAGUUCUUGUAAUGUAUGUACAUUUCCCAAAAAAGGACCUGUUGCAGCCAUGGACAAAGAAGAGAUUUUGCAUUCCCAAGUUAUGGAAACUAAUGCUUUUGAUAAGCAGUUGAACAUUGAGACAGCUGGGGGAAGCACUGAAAAUGAUGCAUGUGCACAUCCAGAGACUGGGGCAAUUGCAGUGAUGGAAAAAAAAGAGAUUUUGCAUUCCAAACCCAAAGUUAUGGAAAUUGAUGCUAAUGAUGGGAAUUCAUGUUGCUCUGUAGAAGAGCAGCAAUUGAACACUGAAAUGGUGGGCCGGAGUACUGAAAGGUCUGGCAAUGCAUGUGCAUGUCCAGACCCUGGGGCAGUUGCAGCAAUGGAAAACGAAGAGAUUUUGCAUUCUAAAGUUGAUGUUAUGGAAAGCAAUGCGUUUGAUGACAAUCUAUGUAGAUCUGCUGGUCAGCAGUUGAACAUUGAGACAGUGCACGGGAGCACUGAAAAUUGCGGCCAUGCAUGUGCAGGUGCAGAGAUGGGGGUUGCAGUAACAGAAAAAGAAGAGAGUUCAUGUUCUAAAGUUGAAGUUAUGGAAACUAAUCCUUUUGAUGGGAGUUUAUGUUGUUCUGCUGAAGAUCAGCAGCUGAACAUUGAGACUGUGGGUGGGAGUAUUGAAAACAGAGGUGAUGCAUGUGCAGGUCCAGAAUCUGACAGUAAAUCAACUGAAGUUGUCGCUGGUUGUGAGGUUGUUGAGGGUACUUUAAGUCCCAGUGUUGAAGUCCCCAAAAUUGUUGAUUUGGAUGGUGUUUUGCCUUUCUCUGCAAAUGACCUGAAUGUAAAUGUGGAUAUGGUUUGUGGAGCCAGAGAGAAGUAUAAUCAAAUCUGUGGCAAAGAGGAAAUUGCCGUGAAAGGUGAUGUUGUUCUGAAUGCUGACAAUGAAGUUCUUUGCCCUCCUGCUUUGGAUGGGAAUUUGUGUUCUGGGAAAGAUCAACUCUUGGAGGCUGAGCCAGUCAGCAGGAACACUGGAAAAGAUGGUGUGGCAUGUGCAAAUUUGGAUCUGUCCAUUGAACGAACUAAAGUUGCUGCUGAUCUGUUACCAGUUGACACCAAUAUUUCAGUCCUGAAUGUUGCAGCUAGAAAUGAGAUCUUAGCCUUUUCCGAAACUAAGCAGAACUCAAAAGUUGAUGCGCCAUGUUUAACUGGAGAGUCUAAACCAUCUCUUGAACAAACCAGAAAUCUUGAAAAACAGGAUGCAUGGGCAUCCAAAGUAGAGUUGGUGCAAGGAGUUAAUGCUUUGCAUGAGGGCAAAUCUGCAAAAGAUCAAGAGUUGAAGGUUGUGACAGUGCACGAGAGCACUGGAAAUGAUGCUUCUGCUCAUGCUGGUAAUCAAUCUUCUAGCAAACAAGCAGAAUUUGAUUCUUGUAUUGCAGCAACAGAGAAUGUUAGGGUCUCUAUUUCCAAAUAUGAAGAAACCAAUGAGGCUGCUUUGGAGGGGACUUCAGCUUUCUCAGAAAAUGAUGAUAACUUGAAGGCCAAAAGAGCGUUUGGAGGCACUGUAAAUGAUCACUGUUUACUAUCAGAUACAGAAUCCUCAGAUGAACAAAUCCCAGUUGCUGAUGGGGGAGACAAAGCAGCAAUGGAUGUCAAGACCGUGUUGGAUUCCAGAAUUGAAUUACCAGAAGUUGAUGCUAUGGAUGAGGAUCAAUGUUGUCUGGUGAAAGAUCAAGAACUGAAGGCUGAUGCAGUCUGUGGGAGCACAGAAGAGAAUGGGUUUACGCAUUCAGAUCCAAAACCCUCUGAUGAUCAAACCCUAGUUGCUGAAAAAGAGAUUGAAGUUAUAAAGGACGAGAAGGUUUCAAAGUCACAUGUUGAGGUUUUGGCCGAGAAAGAUGAAAAGAUGAAUGCAGAUGAAAAGAUGAAUGCUGUGUGUGUGGGUGGGAGCACAGAAAAUGAUGAUGUAUAUCCUAAUCUGUAUUCCUCUGCCGAGCAGACUGAACUUGGCACUCAAGUGGUGUCAUCCAUUAUUAAUGAUGAAGGGACUUCUAAUUCCAAGCUUGAUGUUUUGGGGAAUGAUGCUGCAUGUGGUAGCCUGUACGAACACAAAACUGAGCUUAAUGUUGGUGUAGUGGAUGGGAGCACAGAUAAAGCUCACAUGGAUCCUGAUUCCAGUAAAGACAUAUCAAAUCCUAAAGUUGAAGUUUUGGUGAGUCGGGUAUUGGAUGGGAAGGCAUAUCUUGCAGUAAAGGAUUGUCACGAUCCAUUGUUGAAGAUUGAAACAGUGGAUGGGAACCCAAACAACAAUGGUAUUACAGAUGUAGGUCCUUCAGUUGAAUCUCACAAAACUGAGCUUGAGGUUGACAAAACGGAUGGGAGCAUAGACAAAAAUAGCUUUGCGUGUCUCAGUCUUGAUGCCAGCCAAGAAAUACCAGAUCCUAAAGUUGAAGUUUUGGGGUCCCAUGCUUUGGACGGUAUUGUAUCUUCUUCGGAAAAAGACUUGCUGUUGAAGAUUGAGAAAGCAUCUGGGAGCCCCAAAAAAGAUGAUAUUAAACUUGUGGACCCUUCUUUAGUCGCUGACUCUCAUUUUAUUGGGGAUUGCACAUUUUCUGUUCUUAAGAAAAAUGUGGACAUGAUUGGAGAGAAUAUGUCCAUGCAAGAUGAGAAAGAAGAGACAAUUGUCCCACUAGCUGAACAAUGUACUGUUGGGUUAGAUGGGGAUCAGAGCAAGGAUCCCCUUACUGUUGUGGAGACAUCCAAACAUGGGGCUUGUGUUUUAGAAAUUUCAGACUCAGCUGUUAUCACUGUUCGUCCUCGAGUUGCGCUUGACUCUGCUGCUUUUUGUAAUGAGGGUGACUCCAGCUCCUUCUUUGUUAACGAUUGUGUCAGCCAUUUGCCAGAUGGAAAUCAAGAUUUGGAAGUUCAGAUGGUCAGCAAUCAAAUUCAUCUAGCAGAUGGGGAGCAAGUGAAGGAUACUCUUGUAUCUAAUGCCGCAACAUUUCAUGAAGCAGAGAAUAGUGUUGUGGAUGAAAAGAAUAAAUGCAGCGACUCGGAUGGAAUUCAUAUUGGGGAAAAUUCUGUUCCUAAAGCCAUUGUUUCACAUUUUAAAGAUAAUGAGUCUAUAGCUCACUCAGGGAAAUAUGAUGACUGUAAGUUGCAAGUGGAGGUUGCGAGCGAAAAGAUUUCCCUACCUGAUGAACGUAAACAUGAAGGUGCUGAGAUUCAGGAAAUGGGAGGUAUGGAGGAAUUUCCAGUGCCGGAUUUAUUGGAGAAGAGCACAUCUCUUACUCCUUCCCUGGUUGGUUCAAGUGUAGUGCAAGAAGUUGAAGUUGAAGAGGAAGUUAUUGAUACCAAACAGUUUGGUUUAGAUGGAAAGCAUGAAAUACAAGCUCAAGAACAUCCUACUGGUUUUGGGCAGAUGAAAAGCAGUGAUGAUAAAACUGUAAAACGGGGAACUAUGAAACUUGGAGUCUCUGCAAGAGUGCAUCAGGCCACUUAUGAGCUGCCGUCGGACCCUGAAGGUGAGUUUUCUGUUUCUGAUUUAGUGUGGGGGAAGGUGAGGAGUCAUCCUUGGUGGCCAGGGCAGAUAUUUGAUCCUUCAGAUUCAUCAGAAAAGGCAAUGAAAUAUCAUAAGAAGGAUUGCUAUUUGGUUGCAUACUUUGGAGAUCGAACAUUUGCAUGGAAUGAAGCAUCUUUGUUAAAGCCGUUCCGAAUGCAUUUCUCUCAGAUAGAGAAGCAGAGCAGUUCAGAAACAUUUCAUAAUGCUGUCAAUUGUGCUUUGGAGGAGGUUUCUAGACGGGUAGAGUCGGGGUUGGCUUGCUCUUGCAUUCCCAAAGAAGUUUAUGACAAAAUAAAAUAUCAGGUUGUUGAAAAUACAGGGAUACGACAAGAAUCAAGUAGAAGAGAUGAUGUGGACAAAUCUGCUGGUGUGUACUCAUUUGAACCUCUUAAACUUCUGGAGUAUAUAAAUGCAUUAGCACAGUUCCCAUCUGGUGGGAGUGACCGACUGGAACUUGUGAUAGCCAAGGCACAGUUGUUAGCAUUUAAUCGUUUAAAAGGUUAUAGCCAGCUCCCUGAAUUCCAGUUAUGUGGAGCUUUGUUGGAAACUGAUGUAGAUAUGCCACUGUCUGAGGAAAAAAGGCCCUCAAAUGAAGUGAAUGGGCAUUCGCCACCUCUUUCUGUGGAUGAUGACCUUGUUUCCGCUGGCAGGGGAAAGUUAAAAAGUCAAAACAGCUCCUCUCAUAAGCGCAAGCACAAUCUGAAGGAUAGUAUGAAUCCUAGGAAAAAAGAAAGAAGUUUGGUAGAGUUAAUGUGCAGGACUCCAUAUUCUCCAGAUCAUGAAGAUGGGUCAGAUGGGAAAGCUUCCAGUAAGUUGGUUUCAUCAUCUUCUGGAAAGAAGCGAAGAGCUAUUGAUUCUUUGGCUGAUGACUCAAUAAUGCAUGAUAGAAGAAAAAGUAUUGCAUUGGCCAAAGUUUCUGUGACCACCACUCCACCAAGUUCCAGGCAAUCCUUUAAGGUUGGUGAAUGCAUCAGUAGAGUUGCAAGUCAACUAACUAGAUCUCCCUCCAUCCUGAAGUGCACCAGUGAAAGACUCCAGAAGCUAGAUGGAAGCAGUGACAAGACUGUUGACAUUGAUUUUGAUGCUUCUCUUCAGAUAUCUGAUGAGAGAGGAAAGAUUAUUGUUCCAGUAGAAUACUCAUCCCUUGAUGAAAUGCUAUUACAACUUCACUUGGCAGCACGAGAUCCCAUGAAAGGAUAUGGUUUCCUGAAUACUGUUAUCAGUUUCUUUUCUAAUUAUAGAAAUUCUAUUAUCACUUCUAGGAGAGAAAAUGUAUCCAUGGACAGGGCAUCUGCUGGUAGAAAGAAAAAAUCAUCACAUUUCAUCAUUGGGUCUCCAGAAACAUUUGAAUUCGAGGAUAUGAAUGAUUCUUAUUGGACGGACAGGGUUAUCCAAAACAGUUCUGAAGUGCGACCAUCACGCAGAGGUCGGAAGCGAAGGGCAGAACCUCAGGUUUUGAAUGUUGACAGACAAGAUUCCCAUUUGUAUGGAAACUAUGGAUUGGCAGCAGAGAAACUUACUAACUAUGAUGAUGAGAGGAAGCAGGAUCUGUCACCGACAGAACUUAUAUUGAACUUUGCUGAGGUGAAAUCUGUUCCUUCUGAAACAAAUUUAAACAAAAUGUUUAGGCGCUUUGGGCCUUUGAGAGAAUCUGAAACAGAAGUUGAUGGGCUGACGAGCCGCGCGAGGGUGGUAUUUAAGAGAUGCUCUGAUGCAGAAGUUGCCUUAGAUAGUGCUGGAAAGUUCAACAUUUUUGGAUCAACAGUUGUUAAUUACCAACUUUGCUAUUCUCCAUCAGUAUCAUUUAAAUCUUCACCUCUUGCAAUCGCAGAAGGCCCCGAAGAUGAAACUUAGAUGUCUCAACACUGCUAAUACUCCAAUUUGCAAGUCCUCUAACUUAAUUGAGAGGUCAAGGAAACAAUACUUGAAGUGGCAGGUUAGCUGAACCUACAUCAAAUAGGUGGCUUGAUGGGGCUCUACGAACCAAAUCAAUGUAUCUAAUCUUUGUAGUUUGAAGGCUUUAAAAUGGCACAUGGCGAUUCAUGAAAAUGUGGGGAGCAGAUGCAUCUCAGAGGAAUUUCCACGAGAGAUUUCCUUGUAAAUUUGUUCAUGUUUCUCUUUUGCUAAUGCCAACUUCUUGUUUCUGUUGAAGUUAAUUGAGAGAGAUGAAGGGAACAAUACUCGGAAGUGGCAGGUUUGGUGAACCUAAGCUUCACCAAACAGGUGGCUUGAAUCUUGAUGGGGCUUUUACAAACCAGACCAAUGUAUCUAAUCUUCUUGUUUGAAGACUUUUAAGUUGGCAUAUGGCGUUUUCAUGAAAUUGUGGGGAGCUGAUGCAUCUCAGAGCAACUUCCAGAGAUUUCCUUUGUAAAUUUGUUCAUCUCUCUCUUUUGCUAAUCGCAGCUUCUUGCUUCUGUUGGUCAGUAUCUCUCUCUCUCUCUCUCUCUCAUGCACGCACACUAAAUAAAAAGAAAAAAAUUUCUUA